Gorilla gorilla gorilla (western lowland gorilla) is the source of this 2372-nucleotide long non-coding RNA. RefSeq lists it as uncharacterized. The record is from RefSeq and is a predicted model, not a curated record. NCBI's taxonomy places the organism in Eukaryota, Metazoa, Chordata, Mammalia, Primates, Hominidae. The transcript is spliced from 5 exons.
CUGCCAGAGUGUUCUGUCUACUAAAAUGGACUUGGAUUUGUGGAAAAAAGAGGAUUCUUCCUCUAAUCCUCUUUCUGUAGCUUUUUAAAGAUUUAUGGAUAUAGCUGUAGAAGGGAAAAAGAAAAAUCCUGUUUCUCUCUCUUCCAUGCAAUAGCUUGUUAAACUAAGAAGGACAUGAUUAUUCCAUUCAGUUUGAAUCCUGUUUAUUGAAUGACCAAAGGACGUAAACAGCCUUUGUAAAAGAUGAAGUGUAAUCCAGACAGAAAGUAUUAUUAUUGAGGAAGAGAGGUGCUUAUGACAUAUCAUAAGAGUCUUUGCUCCUAUUUUGGCUCUUAAAACUGUUUUACUUUUGUUUUAGACUUAGAAGGUUUUGACUCCGUGGUAUCAUCUACUGAGAAACUCAGUCAUCCGACCACAAGCAGACCAAAAGCUACAGGGAGGCGGCCUCCGUCCCAGUCCCUCACAUCUUCAUCCCUUUCAAGCCCUGAUAUCUUCGACUCCCCAAGUCCCGAAGAGGAUAAGGAGGAACACAUUUCACUUGCGCACAGAGGAGUGGAUGCGUCAAAGAAAACUUCCAAGACUGUUACCAUAUCCCAAGUGUCUGACAACAAAGCAUCCCUGCCGCCCAAGCUGGGGACCAUGGCAGCAGGUGGCGGUGGGCCAGCCCCUCUGUCCUCAGCGGCGCCCUCCCCCCGUCAUCCUCUUUGGGAACAGCUGGACACAGAGCCAACUCCCCGUCUCUGUUCGGCACGGAAGGAAAACCAAAGAUGGAGCCUGCGGCCAGCAGCCAGGCAGCCGUGGAGGAGCUAAGGACACAGGUCCGUGAGCUGAGGAGCAUCAUCGAGACCAUGAAGGACCAGCAGAAACGAGAGAUUAAACAGUUAUUUCUGAGUUGGAUGAAGAGAAGAAAAUCCGGCUUCGGUUGCAGAUGGAAGUGAACGACAUAAAGAAAGCUCUACAAUCAAAAUGAAUACUUGAUUAAUGAAAUGUCACAUUAUUCAUCCUGAGUCCGAGACUCAAAUUUUCUGCCCCAGCCAAAAUAAUCUUGUGCCAAAAAGAUUAAAGGUUUGCCUCAAAAUGUCCCUGUUUGAAAGAUUAGCACAAAAGUCUUGACAGCACAACACAAAUUCCAUCCAAGAGGAGAAUCUUCCCCAGGGUUUAGUCCUGGGGCUGGCACUCGUUGUGACUUACACAGAGCAAAAUUGUGCUAAAGGCUUUUCUACUCUGAGAUCUCAAUGUGAAAUGAAAACUCAGGCAGUUUAGUCCAUAGUGGUACUAUUUUGAUGAUAUUUUCCAUUAAUAAAAUGUAAUUUCAGAUUAUUCGUUUACAAGCUUUAUAAUUUUAUGAUUUUUAAUCGUGUUUUGUCACAGACUUCCCUAGUGUUUGUACUACACGUAGUCAGAAGUGAGUGUCCUUUUCUUUUGCUUCAGGCUAAGAGCUGCCUCGCUCUUUGUCCCCCCAUUAGGAUUCUAUUACAUAUGCAAUUGUAGAUUCAACCUGUCCCUUUCCCUGCCAGCAAACCCCACCACCCUAAGAGAAAUUUUAGCUUAUAUAUGAUGGUAUAUUUACAAAAAGAGAAAGAGAAAGUCUGGUAUUUGCAAUGAUCUGUGCCUUCUUUUUACCACCCUCUUGAUUGGAGCUUUUGUGAUGCAGCUACCAUGAUUCAAAAAAAUUAAAAAUUAAAAAAAAAAAUCUGCCACUUAUCCAAGUCCACUAGAGGCCACUGUCUUCAAAGCUUCUCUCACCCUAGCCAAAGGUCCUAAGAGGAGACAGCUGUGAAGUUGGGCGUGCUCUGUGGUACCAGCUGUGACUUUUCUAUUUCUCCUAGUUUUAGGUUGUUCAUGAAACUAGAAAUGUCAUCCUGCUUGAUUUUUCAUCAGCCAAGUUAAACCCCUGCUUUCUGUCCUUUGCACCUUUUGCGUGAACAGAAUAUGCAUUAUUAAAGCAAAAAUAAAUAAAAGUAAAAUGUAAAUGAAAACAAGGGAGGGAAAGUUGUAUUAUUUCCUGCACUGGGUUACCCGUGUGUGUUAUCGUUUAAACUGUAUUCACAUAAUGUCAUUUGCCUUGCUCACUUGUAACCCCUUCCUCAGGUCCAAGAGAAUGGGAGGAGGGUCAUGUUGAAGUGUAGCCAUUGGAACUUUCUUGCAUUUAUGGAGUUGCUUUUUCUUUCCCAAGGAAACUGAUGUUUGUCUGUCCGCUUUAUCUUUGUAGUAUAUGAACAGUUCAGCCUUAGACUAUGUAACUGUUUUCUCAUCCUUAGCUGAAAAUGAGGGGCCUACUGUAUUGCGAGACUGUUCAGGGGUAGGGGUGGAGGGGGUGGUCCCUUAAUGGCCCCUGAAGAUGUUGGAUGUGUUUCUCAAAAGCUGCUUUG